AUCCAACUGACGAGUCCCGAAUGGGACGAAAAGCGCGUCCUGUAU
Molecule: non-coding RNA, 45 nt
Filed under: Schistosoma mansoni
Lineage: Eukaryota; Metazoa; Platyhelminthes; Trematoda; Strigeidida; Schistosomatidae
Source: RNAcentral